This 1113-nucleotide long non-coding RNA is filed under the name Homo sapiens (human). RNAcentral's name for it is "HSALNT0120591". The record is from RNAcentral. Lineage: Eukaryota; Metazoa; Chordata; Mammalia; Primates; Hominidae.
UGAGACCCGGAGGCUGAGGCUGUAGGUGGGCUCCGCUGGGUAAAAGUUGCCGCAGCAGCUGUCCCUUGGCCCCAUCGCGAUUUAUUUUUCCCCCUUGCUUUCCGGGUCCCGGGAUCCCAAGUUUGUAACUAACGGGAGCGAAUCCACACCCGAGCAAAAUGUUUGCGAGUUUCAGGCGCCCUUAGUUGAAAGGCUGUAAUUAACAAGUCCGCUGUUUGCCAGCCAGGCGCCGUUGCAGGCGCUUUCUGUGGAUUGUCAUUUAUUUCUCACAGCAACCCUAGGAGAUGAAAUUGAAUCAUGGAAGAAUGCCUUUAUCUGAGGAGUCAUCACCACUAGGGAGCUAUGGAGGUGAGGAAACUGAGACAUCAGGCUGUUAUCCUUGACAUCUGCAGCAGCCCUUCCAAGCUGUGGAGACCAGGUCAUCUGGAAUGCCCAUUUAUGUCAAUGGAAGAAAGAAAAAGGGGUCUCCUCCCAUCCUCACCACUGCAUUCUCCCACCAACCCUGCUCCUGUCCCACUUCCCACAACUCAGUUGUUGACAAUUUAACAGUGGGUUUCUGGAAACAGUGCUGCCUCCUUGAUGGUCUAACUAACUACCAGAGUUAUUCUAACAGCAGGAAUUUCAAGCCAGGUAAGGGGAGCUAUGUCAGGCUGCCAGAUGGUGGGGAAGACAGGUGUGGGUGAGCUGGCUUCAGACUAAAGGAAGAGGAGAUCAAGUGUUGGAAUCACAUUUGAGAAAAGGAGUCAAGUGAACUUCAUUACCCAUUAUAGAGGCCUGUUAUAUCCUUUAGUGCUAUUUGGACUUGGAUUGAACCUGUGACAAAUCCUUUUCUUAUGCUUCUUCCAUCCCUGCUUCCAUGUUAUAUCCUUUCCCCUUCUAAAAUGGUAAUAAUGAGAAAUAACUAUUACUAAUUACCCCACUUUAAAAAAUAGGUUUGUAAAACAAGAAUGAAAAACGUUGACAGUUAUUCUGCAGAUUCGCUUUUCACCAAUACAGAAAUGUGGCAAAAAUACAAUUUGAUAUUAACAGAUGAAUUCAGAGGGCUUGGCCAGGAAGAAAAGAGGCAAACCAGACAUACAUAGGAGGCACAGCAAAAGACCCAAGGUGAGGGGC